Molecule: ribosomal RNA, 477 nt
Filed under: uncultured bacterium
Lineage: Bacteria
Description: partial 16S ribosomal RNA
Rfam family: Bacterial small subunit ribosomal RNA
Source: RNAcentral
GAUGAACGCUAGCGGCAGGCCUAACACAUGCAAGUCGAGGGAGAAGCCCUUUCGGGGGCAGAAACCGGCGCACGGGUGCGUAACGCGUAUGCAACCUACCUUUCACAGGGGGAUAGCCCGAAGAAAUUUGGAUUAAUACCCCAUAAUAUUAUUGGAUGGCAUCAUUUGAUAAUUAAAACUGCGGUGGUGAAAGAUGGGCAUGCGUCCUAUUAGCUAGUUGGAGUGGUAACGGCACCCCAAGGCUACGAUAGGUAGGGGUCCUGAGAGGGAGAUCCCCCACAUGGGUACUGAGACAGGGACCAGACUCCUACGGGAGGCAGCAGGGAGGAAUAUGGGUAAAUGGUCGGAAGACUGAACCCGCCAUGCCGGGUGCAGGAAGAAAGCCUUUUGGGUUGUAAACUGCUUUUAUAUGGGAAAAAUAAGGUGUACGUGUACAUUGAUGCCGGUACCAAAUGAAUAAGCAUCGGCUACCUCCGU